RNAcentral lists this ribosomal RNA (370 nucleotides) under uncultured organism. Its description in RNAcentral is "partial 16S ribosomal RNA". It matches the Rfam family "Bacterial small subunit ribosomal RNA", at positions 527 to 896 of the family's 1533-position model. The record is from RNAcentral.
GUAGGUGGCAAGCGUUGUCCGGAAUUAUUGGGCGUAAAGCGCGCGCAGGCGGUUCUUUAAGUCUGAUGUGAAAGCCCACGGCUCAACCGUGGAGGGUCAUUGGAAACUGGAGAACUUGAGUACAGAAGAGGAAAGCGGAAUUCCACGUGUAGCGGUGAAAUGCGUAGAGAUGUGGAGGAACACCAGUGGCGAAGGCGGCUUUCUGGUCUGUAACUGACGCUGAGGCGCGAAAGCGUGGAGAGCAAACAGGAUUAGAUACCCUGGUAGUCCACGCCGUAAACGAUGAGUGCUAAGUGUUAGGGGGUUUCCGCCCCUUAGUGCUGCAGCUAACGCAUUAAGCACUCCGCCUGGGAGUACGGCCGCAAGGCUG